AACGAACGCUGGCGGCAUGCCUAACACAUGCAAGUCGAACGAGACCUUCGGGUCUAGUGGCGCACGGGUGCGUAACGCGUGGGAACCUGCCCUUAGGUUCGGACUAACUCCCCGAAAGGGGUGCUAAUACCGGAUAAUGUCUUCGGACCAAAGAUUUAUCGCCUUUGGAUGGGCCCGCGUUGGAUUAGCUAGUUGGUAGGGUAAAAGCCUACCAAGGCGACGAUCCAUAGCUGGUCGGGGAGGAUGAUCAGCCACACUGGGACUGAGACACGGCCCAGACUCCUACGGGAGGCAGCAGUGGGGAAUAUUGGACAAUGGGCGAAAGCCUGAACCAGCCAUGCCGCGUGAGUGAUGAAGGCCUUAGGGUUGUAAAGCUCUUUUACCCGGGAUGAUAAUGACGGUACCGGGAGAAUAAGCGCCGGCUAACUCCGUG
Molecule: ribosomal RNA, 433 nt
Filed under: uncultured bacterium
Lineage: Bacteria
Description: partial 16S ribosomal RNA
Rfam family: Bacterial small subunit ribosomal RNA
Source: RNAcentral